UACGUAGGGUGCAAGCGUUAAUCGGAAUUACUGGGCGUAAAGCGCACGUAGGCGGAUUGUUAAGUCGGGGGUGAAAUCCUGGAGCUCAACUCCAGAACUGCCUUCGAUACUGGCGAUCUUGAGUCCGGGAGAGGUGAGUGGAACUCCGAGUGUAGAGGUGAAAUUCGUAGAUAUUCGGAAGAACACCAGUGGCGAAGGCGGCUCACUGGCCCGGAACUGACGCUGAGGCGCGAAAGCGUGGGGAGCAAACAGG
Molecule: ribosomal RNA, 253 nt
Filed under: uncultured bacterium
Lineage: Bacteria
Description: partial 16S ribosomal RNA
Rfam family: Bacterial small subunit ribosomal RNA
Source: RNAcentral